ACGCUGGCGGCGGCCUAACACAUGCAAGUCGAGCGCCCCGCAAGGGGAGCGGCAGACGGGAGAGUAACACGUGGGAACGUACCCUUCAGUUCGGAACAACCCAGGGAAACUUGGGCUAAUACCGAAUACGUCCGUAAGGAGAAAGAUUUAUCGCUGAAGGAUCGGCCCGCGUCUGAUUAGCUUGUUGGUGAGGUAACGGCUCACCAAGGCGACGAUCAGUAGCUGGUCUGAGAGGAUGAUCAGCCUCACUGGGACUGAGACACGGCCCAGACUCCUACGGGAGGCAGCAGUGGGGAAUAUUGGACAAUGGGCGCAAGCCUGAUCCAGCCAUGCCGCGUGGAUGAUGAAGGCCCUAGGGUUGUAAAGUCCUUUCGGCGGGGAAGAUAAUGACGGUACCCGCAGAAGAAGCCCCGGCUAACUUCGUGCCAGCAGCCGCGGUAAUACGAAGGGGGCUAUCGUUGCUCGGAAUCACUGGGCGUAAAGCGCACGUAUGCGGCUUUUUAAGUCAGGGGUGAAAUCCUGGAGCUCAACUCCAAAACUGCCUUUGAUACUGAGA
RNAcentral lists this ribosomal RNA (556 nucleotides) under uncultured bacterium. RNAcentral's name for it is "bacterial SSU rRNA". It matches the Rfam family "Bacterial small subunit ribosomal RNA", at positions 33 to 638 of the family's 1533-position model. The record is from RNAcentral.